CCUAGGGGAGGCAGCAGUGGGGAAUAUUGCACAAUGGGCGCAAGCCUGAUGCAGCCAUGCCGCGUGUAUGAAGAAGGCCUUCGGGUUGUAAAGUACUUUCAGCGGGGAGGAAGGCGUUGUGGUUAAUAACCACAGCGAUUGACGUUACCCGCAGAAGAAGCACCGGCUAACUCCGUGCCAGCAGCCGCGGUAA
RNAcentral lists this ribosomal RNA (193 nucleotides) under uncultured Cronobacter sp. RNAcentral's name for it is "partial 16S ribosomal RNA". It matches the Rfam family "Bacterial small subunit ribosomal RNA", at positions 338 to 523 of the family's 1533-position model. Lineage: Bacteria; Pseudomonadati; Pseudomonadota; Gammaproteobacteria; Enterobacterales; Enterobacteriaceae. The record is from RNAcentral.